AUGCCCAGUUCUAUUUGAAUUUCAGGUAAGCCACUAAUAAUUUUUAGCAUAAAUAUAUCCAUGCAAAGUAUGGGACAUACUUAUACUAAAACAUGGUUGAUUUGAAAUUCAUAUCAAACUGGAAGUC
RNAcentral lists this microRNA precursor (127 nucleotides) under Echinops telfairi (small Madagascar hedgehog). RNAcentral describes it as "miRNA (ENSETEG00000025190.1)". The record is from RNAcentral. Lineage: Eukaryota; Metazoa; Chordata; Mammalia; Afrosoricida; Tenrecidae.